This 545-nucleotide ribosomal RNA is filed under the name uncultured Clostridium sp. RNAcentral describes it as "bacterial SSU rRNA". It matches the Rfam family "Bacterial small subunit ribosomal RNA", at positions 8 to 570 of the family's 1533-position model. The record is from RNAcentral. Lineage: Bacteria; Bacillati; Bacillota; Clostridia; Eubacteriales; Clostridiaceae.
AGAGUUUGAUCCUGGCUCAGGACGAACGCUGGCGGCGUGCUUAACACAUGCAAGUCGAGCGAUGAAGCUUCUUCGGGAGUGGAUUAGCGGCGGACGGGUGAGUAACACGUGGGUAACCUGCCUCAUAGAGGGGAAUAGCCUUUCGAAAGGAAGAUUAAUACCGCAUAAGAUUGUAGUACCGCAUGGUACAGCAAUUAAAGGAGUAAUCCGCUAUGAGAUGGACCCGCGUCGCAUUAGCUAGUUGGUGAGGUAACGGCUCACCAAGGCGACGAUGCGUAGCCGACCUGAGAGGGUGAUCGGCCACAUUGGGACUGAGACACGGCCCAGACUCCUACGGGAGGCAGCAGUGGGGAAUAUUGCACAAUGGGGGAAACCCUGAUGCAGCAACGCCGCGUGAGUGAUGACGGCCUUCGGGUUGUAAAACUCUGUCUUUGGGGACGAUAAUGACGGUACCCAAGGAGGAAGCCACGGCUAACUACGUGCCAGCAGCCGCGGUAAUACGUAGGUGGCAAGCGUUGUCCGGAUUUACUGGGCGUAAAGGGAGC